UUCCCUUUCGCAACGAUGCCGUCUAUCACCACUGCCAAGCGCGAGUACGAGGAGCGCCUCGUCGACUGCCUGACCAAGUACAGCUGCGUGCUGUUCGUGGGCAUGGACAACGUCCGCUCGCAGCAGGUGCACGAUGUGCGCCGUGCGCUGCGCGGCAAGGCCGAGUUCAUUAUGGGCAAGAAGACGCUGCAGGCGAAGAUCGUGGAGAAGCGCGCGCAAGCCAAGGACGCGAGCCCCGAGGCGAAGCGCUUCAACGAUCAGUGUGAGGAGUACAACCUGCUGAGCGGCAACACCGGCCUCAUCUUCACUAACAACGCUGUCCAGGAGAUCACCUCUGUGCUUGACGCGCACCGCGUGAAGGCCCCGGCGCGUGUCGGAGCGAUUUCCCCGUGCGACGUGGUUGUGCCUGCUGGCAGCACCGGCAUGGAGCCGACCCAGACGUCCUUCUUCCAGGCGCUGAACAUUGCGACGAAGAUUGCCAAGGGUAUGGUGGAGAUCGUGACGGAGAAGAAGGUGCUGAGCGUCGGCGACAAGGUGGACAACUCGACGGCGACGCUGCUGCAAAAGCUGAACAUCAGCCCGUUCUACUACCAGGUGAAUGUGCUGUCCGUGUGGGACCGCGGUGUGCUGUUCACCCGCGAGGACCUCAUGAUGACGGAGGACAUGGUGGAGAAGAUUCUGAUGGAAGGCCUGAGCAACGUUGCGGCGAUGGCGCUGGGUGCUGGCAUCCCGACGUCUUCGACGAUUGGCCCGAUGCUGGUGGACGCCUUCAAGAACCUGCUGGCUGUCUCCGUGGCGACCUCGUACGAGUUCGAGGAGCACAACGGCAAGGAGCUGCGCGAGGCCGCGAUCAACGGCCUGCUGGCCGGCUCUGGCUCGGCUGCUGCGGAGCCCGCCGCUGCCGCGCCGGCCGCCCCUAGCGCUGCUGCCAAGGAGGAGCCGGAGGAGAGCGACGAGGACGACUUCGGCAUGGGCGGUCUCUUCUAAGCGACUCGCCAUAUCUGAGCCUCCUUGUGGUGCGCUUGAGGUGCUCUCGCUCUGCUUCUCCUUGCAGUGUUGGCUGACUCUGGAGGGCAUGUGCAGUCGCAUUACACCCAUCUCUCUCACCCCUUUGUCCCUACGCGCUUGCACGCACAAUCCGUGAAUCAUCGAGAGAAGUCUCUCUCCAUGGCCGUGGGUAAGCUUGUGAGGAUAGGUGUGUGUGUGUGUGUGGGCAGGCAUGUCGGACGACUUAGACACACACACACACACACACGGAAAGACUCACACACAGCAUCCGUCCAGCGCAACAGCAACGCCCGCCGCGCGAAGCAGAGGCGGGCGCGCGCUCAGUGUACCGCUGUGAACGGAGGAGGGGGACUCUUCGCUUUUUUCUUUUUCUUGUUUCGGUGUUUUUUCUUCAUUUGACGUCUCAACUCAAAAACAGCACAGAAAACGCGGAAACGCCACAUGAGUGGAGCCGUUGCAAUCGGGGACGGUGGCGGCGCAACGCCGUCGUGGCAAUUGCGCGUGGGUUGCUGUCUGAUGGGUGGUCGCACUGCUGCUCGAACACAGGUGGACCCUCCCCCCGCAACGACGUCCGGCCGAGUCGCGUGUGUGUGGCGGUGAGCACAGGGUAGUCUUUGUUUCCGUCGCACAGCACCUAUCGUCGUUUUCGGCACUCCUCGUCACCUCUCCUUCGUGUCGCACGAAAGUGUGCUGUCUGUGAGGACGCUUCGGUGCGAAUAGGUGAGUGCAAACAUGCGUGCAUCGGCACCGAAUCGCGGUCGGGUAGAUUCCACGCUCCUGGAAGGUUGCAAGUGUCUUGCUGCUCGAGGUGGCCGAUGAGUCAAGGCCAUACCCUCACGCAACACCUGCACUGCUGCCCGCGCUGCUUUCCUCCAGCACGAAGGGAGGAAGGGGCACGGGUGGGGGCUGUAGGCGAGUAGCCCCUGAGGUUGUGAGUAGACGACACGCCGUGUGCGCCAGUGGGCACUGCGCACCUUUUCAGUGUUGUGUGUGGAACACAGGGUGGCGCACACUGUCUUCGGUGAUGCUUUCUCAUUAUGAGCCGCUUGCCUAGUAUGCGCAACCCCCAGCCCCUCCCCACCUCCUCCGCAGAGUCACCGCGUGCAUGCUAUGUGCCAUGUUUAAAGACAGCCUCCCCCACCCCUUGCCAACUCCCUCUCGGCUCGCCUUUAUCUCUCGUUCCUCUCUCGCGUUCAUUCGCUCUUCUUCGUGAACGAAACACGACGACUUGCCUCGUACCUUCCGCGUAAUCAAUAUUCCACUCACUCCCUUACAUAUGCAUUGCCCGUGCCACAACCUGGCACACACCUUCGGCUUACAAACAACACCUUCACCGACCCUACGACAG
This 2356-nucleotide unclassified non-coding RNA is filed under the name Leishmania donovani. RNAcentral's name for it is "gene:LdHU3.27.1990(CDS-product:60S_acidic_ribosom al_protein_P0_putative)". The record is from RNAcentral. Lineage: Eukaryota; Euglenozoa; Kinetoplastea; Trypanosomatida; Trypanosomatidae.